RNAcentral lists this small nuclear RNA (164 nucleotides) under Castor canadensis (American beaver). Its description in RNAcentral is "U1 spliceosomal RNA (ENSCCNG00000016487.1)". It matches the Rfam family "U1 spliceosomal RNA". From Rfam's summary of the family: U1 is a small nuclear RNA (snRNA) component of the spliceosome (involved in pre-mRNA splicing). Its 5' end forms complementary base pairs with the 5' splice junction, thus defining the 5' donor site of an intron. The record is from Rfam by way of RNAcentral. Lineage: Eukaryota; Metazoa; Chordata; Mammalia; Rodentia; Castoridae.
UAAAAUACCUGGCAAGGGAGAUACCAUGAUCACAAAGGUGGUUUCCCCAGGGUGGGGCUUAUCCAUUGCACUCUGGAUGUGCUGAUCACUGAGAUUUCCCCAAAUGUGGGAAACUCAAAUGCAUAAUUUAUAGUAAUGGGGGACUGUGGUUGUGUUGUCUCCUG